Molecule: non-coding RNA, 126 nt
Organism: Jaculus jaculus (lesser Egyptian jerboa)
Lineage: Eukaryota; Metazoa; Chordata; Mammalia; Rodentia; Dipodidae
Source: Ensembl
CCAGGAGACGAAAAAGUAGAGUCUGAUGAAGCAAGACUGUUGAUAAAUUCCUCCUAGAAAUACAGGGUUGGAGAGAGCAGCCCUUAUUAGAGAACACUGUGGAGCUGACUGUAGUACCCUAUAUCC